This 189-nucleotide ribosomal RNA is filed under the name uncultured bacterium. RNAcentral describes it as "partial 16S ribosomal RNA". It matches the Rfam family "Bacterial small subunit ribosomal RNA", at positions 1312 to 1500 of the family's 1533-position model. The record is from RNAcentral.
CCGCCUACAUGAAGUUGGAAUUGCUAGUAAUCGCAGAUCAGAAUGCUGCGGUGAAUACGUUCCCGGGCCUUGUACACACCGCCCGUCACACCAUGGGAGCCGGUAAUACCCGAAGUCAGUAGUCUAACCGCAAGGGGGACGCUGCCGAAGGCAGGAUUGGCGACUGGGGUGAAGUCGUAACAAGGUACC